CAGCGCAGCCGGGGAGCCAGCGGUGCCCUGUACCUGCAAUCCGCUACAGCAGGGGUGAUAUUCUGCCUCGGGUGGUUCCGGUAUUGCUGCCCGAAGUACCGUGGCGUUGACGUUCGGGUCUUACGCAACGGGAAUUUGUGAACCGUGUCAGGUCGGGAACGAAGCAGCACUAAGCAAAACCUCCCGUGUGCCGUAAGGUAGCCUGAAAAGAGCUACGAUCUUCGGUAACGGAUAUUGAAAGCAUUCAAAGCAGAAUGCGCUG
This 262-nucleotide signal recognition particle RNA is filed under the name Candidatus Minthocola equi. Its description in RNAcentral is "signal recognition particle sRNA large type". It matches the Rfam family "Bacterial large signal recognition particle RNA". From Rfam's summary of the family: The signal recognition particle (SRP) is a universally conserved ribonucleoprotein involved in the co-translational targeting of proteins to membranes. Archaeal SRP consists of a 7S RNA and homologues of the eukaryotic SRP19 and SRP54 proteins. In most bacteria, the SRP consists of a 4.5S RNA and the Ffh protein (a homologue of the eukaryotic SRP54 protein). The record is from RNAcentral. Lineage: Bacteria; Bacillati; Bacillota; Clostridia; Lachnospirales; Lachnospiraceae.